UACGGGGGGGGCAAGCGUUGUUCGGAAUUACUGGGCGUAAAGGGCUCGUAGGCGGCCAACUAAGUCAGACGUGAAAUCCCUCGGCUUAACCGGGGAACUGCGUCUGAUACUGGAUGGCUGGAGUUUGGGAGAGGGAUGCGGAAUUCCAGGUGUAGCGGUGAAAUGCGUAGAUAUCUGGAGGAAUACCGGUGGCGAAGGCGGCAUCCUGGACCGGCAUUGACGCUGAGGAGCGAAAGCCAGGGGAGCAAACGGG
Molecule: ribosomal RNA, 253 nt
Filed under: uncultured bacterium
Lineage: Bacteria
Description: partial 16S ribosomal RNA
Rfam family: Bacterial small subunit ribosomal RNA
Source: RNAcentral